UACGAAGGUCCCAAGCGUUAUCCGGAUUUAUUGGGUUUAAAGGGUGCGUAGGCGGGUUAUUAAGUCAGUGGCGAAAGCUCCAUGCCUAACAUGGAAAUUGCCAUUGAUACUGAUGAUCUUGAGUACAUUUGAAGUGGGCGGAAUGUGUCAUGUAGUGGUGAAAUACUUAGAUAUGACACAGAACACCGAUUGCGUAGGCAGCUCACUAAACUGUAACUGACGCUGAGGCACGAAAGUGUGGGGAUCAAACAGG
RNAcentral lists this ribosomal RNA (253 nucleotides) under uncultured bacterium. RNAcentral's name for it is "partial 16S ribosomal RNA". It matches the Rfam family "Bacterial small subunit ribosomal RNA", at positions 524 to 776 of the family's 1533-position model. The record is from RNAcentral.